GUUCCUACCUCAUUCUAAUGAGUAGCCUAGGCUGAGAAUCACUGCACCUGGGUCCUCUCACCCCAGUCAGUGCUCAACAUCCCUUCUUUCUCCCACUUCAGCCCUGGUCAAUCCAGCAAGCCCUGUGCUCAGCAGUCACAAAUAACACAGUUCCAGGGUGGAUAGAGUGAGCCCCAUCUUACACACGAAGAAACUAAGAACCAGGGAGAGUAAACGACUUUACUCAAAGUCACACAAGUAAUUAGUGGGAGUCUAGGUCUCUCUGACUUAGCAGUAGUUCCCAGUUUGUCAGGCUGCCUUGGUAAUUUGGGAGCAUUAACUCAUUAAGCUAUUAAUGCAUCAGAGGGCUUAGUUUAUGGUAAUAAUGGCCCCUAGUUUUUAUAGAGGUAUUAGUGUUCACAUAACACUUUCAUAAACAUUAUUUUAUGAUAUUAAGAAUCAUUGCUUCAUUUUAAAGAUGAGAAAACUGAGACUAGAACUAUUUCCUUCCUCAUGGCCAUACUGGUAGAGGAACCAGUUUGAGCUCAAAGACUUUUAACUCCUAAUUCCAAAGAAGAGAGCACAUUGAAAAACUGGGAAGUAGGAAUGGGGAAGUGACGUACUACAAAACAAAUGGAUGAUAAACUUUAAAAUUGUCAAUAUCAUGAAAAGCAAAGAAAGGCUAAGGAAUAUUUCCAGACUAAUGGAAUUAAAGAGACAUGAAAAAUAGGGGUUGUGGGUGUCGCUCAGUGGUACAGUACAUGCUUGGAAGUGCCCCGAGUUAAAUCCCCAGC
RNAcentral lists this long non-coding RNA (773 nucleotides) under Marmota monax (woodchuck). The record is from RNAcentral. Lineage: Eukaryota; Metazoa; Chordata; Mammalia; Rodentia; Sciuridae.